This is a non-coding RNA of Mus musculus (house mouse), 275 nucleotides long. The record is from Rfam. Lineage: Eukaryota; Metazoa; Chordata; Mammalia; Rodentia; Muridae.
UGGUGCCAAAUGUGGGGGCAGUGAGAACAAGAGACCCUGUGAGGGACGUUACUGGAAGAAGGGUCAAUCGAAAAUUCAAAAAUGAAACAAAGGUUAUCACCAUGGGAACCUGCUGUGUUGAGACUGGUGAGUCAUAGUACCAAAAAUGGGGCAAGAAAUAAGUCAGCAUAAAGUAUAUAUGGAACAAACAAGAAAGGCUUUAAAGACAUAAGAAGUAAAGGUAAAAAUUCAGCAUUUAUUGUCAUUUUUUGAUUUUAUUAAAGAGUUAUGUCCCU